GCUAAAUGCAUCAAUUAAAAAAAUACUUUACCUAAACUACUUGUAUAUAGGGUUAGCAGACGUUGAUAUUAUAGGGAAUGAGUAAAUGCAAACAAGAAAAUAAAUCUUAGAUACACAAAUAAAUAAAAAGAAUUUAGAACUCACAAAAUAAGCACCUAAUCAAUCAAAUUGAAUAUGCAAAGUAAAAUAAAAGGAGGUUUUGAUUUGUAAUUACUAAACUACUGAAGCUAAAACUAAAAAUGAUAGAAUAUAAAUUUAAAGCUAAUAACACUUAUG
RNAcentral lists this unclassified non-coding RNA (276 nucleotides) under Hevea brasiliensis (rubber tree). The record is from RNAcentral. Lineage: Eukaryota; Viridiplantae; Streptophyta; Magnoliopsida; Malpighiales; Euphorbiaceae.